GGAGGUGUGGCCGAGUGGUUUAAGGCAACGGUCUUGAGAACCGUCGAUGGGGAGACCUAUCCUAGAGUUCGAAUCUCUACACCUCCGCCA
Molecule: transfer RNA, 90 nt
Filed under: Pseudomonas aeruginosa
Lineage: Bacteria; Pseudomonadati; Pseudomonadota; Gammaproteobacteria; Pseudomonadales; Pseudomonadaceae
Description: tRNA-Ser
Rfam family: tRNA
About the family: Transfer RNA (tRNA) molecules are approximately 80 nucleotides in length. Their secondary structure includes four short double-helical elements and three loops (D, anti-codon, and T loops). Further hydrogen bonds mediate the characteristic L-shaped molecular structure. tRNAs have two regions of fundamental functional importance: the anti-codon, which is responsible for specific mRNA codon recognition, and the 3' end, to which the tRNAs corresponding amino acid is attached (by aminoacyl-tRNA synthetases). tRNAs cope with the degeneracy of the genetic code in two manners: having more than one tRNA (with a specific anti-codon) for a particular amino acid; and 'wobble' base-pairing, i.e. permitting non-standard base-pairing at the 3rd anti-codon position.
Source: RNAcentral